Molecule: ribosomal RNA, 488 nt
Filed under: uncultured bacterium
Lineage: Bacteria
Description: bacterial SSU rRNA
Rfam family: Bacterial small subunit ribosomal RNA
Source: RNAcentral
GUAGCGUGAAGGAUGACUGCCCUAUGGGUUGUAAACUUCUUUUAUACGGGAAUAAAGUGAGGCACGUGUGCCUUUUUGUAUGUACCGUAUGAAUAAGGAUCGGCUAACUCCGUGCCAGCAGCCGCGGUAAUACGGAGGAUCCGAGCGUUAUCCGGAUUUAUUGGGUUUAAAGGGAGCGUAGGCGGACGCUUAAGUCAGUUGUGAAAGUUUGCGGCUCAACCGUAAAAUUGCAGUUGAUACUGGGUGUCUUGAGUACAGUAGAGGCAGGCGGAAUUCGUGGUGUAGCGGUGAAAUGCUUAGAUAUCACGAAGAACUCCGAUUGCGAAGGCAGCUUGCUGGACUGUAACUGACGCUGAUGCUCGAAAGUGUGGGUAACAAACAGGAUUAGAUACCCUGGUAGUCCACACAGUAAACGAUGAAUACUCGCUGUUUGCGAUAUACAGUAAGCGGCCAAGCGAAAGCGUUAAGUAUUCCACCUGGGGAGUACG